RNAcentral lists this small RNA (90 nucleotides) under Chryseobacterium polytrichastri. RNAcentral describes it as "Flavo-1 RNA". It matches the Rfam family "Flavo-1 RNA". Lineage: Bacteria; Pseudomonadati; Bacteroidota; Flavobacteriia; Flavobacteriales; Weeksellaceae. The record is from RNAcentral.
CUCUAGCCCCGAUUGCAACGACAUCCUUUUUCUGAAUUGGCCUUGAAAAAAGCGUUGGCGAAAAAGAUAUAGUGGAAAGCGGGAUUAAGC